GAUGAACGCUGGCGGCGUGCCUAAUACAUGCAAGUCGAGCGAACGGACGAGAAGCUUGCUUCUCUGAUGUUAGCGGCGGACGGGUGAGUAACACGUGGAUAACCUACCUAUAAGACUGGGAUAACUUCGGGAAACCGGAGCUAAUACCGGAUAAUAUUUUGAACCGCAUGGUUCACAAGUGAAAGACGGUCUUGCUGUCACUUAUAGAUGGAUCCGCGCUGCAUUAGCUAGUUGGUAAGGUAACGGCUUACCAAGGCAACGAUGCAUAGCCGACCUGAGAGGGUGAUCGGCCACACUGGAACUGAGACACGGUCCAGACUCCUACGGGAGGCAGCAGUAGGGAAUCUUCCGCAAUGGGCGAAAGCCUGACGGAGCAACGCCGCGUGAGUGAUGAAGGUCUUCGGAUCGUAAAACUCUGUUAUUAGGGAAGAACAUAUGUGUAAGUAGCUGUGCACAUCUUGACGGUACCUAAUCAGAAAGCCACGGCUAACUACGUG
Molecule: ribosomal RNA, 497 nt
Filed under: uncultured bacterium
Lineage: Bacteria
Description: partial 16S ribosomal RNA
Rfam family: Bacterial small subunit ribosomal RNA
Source: RNAcentral